AUUGAACGCUGGCGGCAGGCCUAACACAUGCAAGUCGAACGAGCGGCGGACGGGUGAGUAAUGUAUGGGAAUCUAGCUUAUGGAGGGGGAUAACUACGGGAAACGGUAGCUCAUACCGCAUACCAUAGGAUGAGCCCAAUGGGGAUUAGAUAGUUGGUGGGGUAAAGGCUCACCAAGCCGACGAUCUCUAGCUGGGCUGAGAGGAUGACCAGCAACACUGGGACUGAGACACGGCCCAGACUCCUACGGGAGGCAGCAGUGGGGAAUAGUGCGCAAUGGGGGCAACCUGACGCAGCCAUGCCGCGUGAAUGAAGAAGGCCUUCGGGUUGUAAAGUUCUUUCGGUAGCGAGGCGUUAACUACAGAAGAAGCACCGGCUAACUCCGGGCCAGCAGCCGCGGUAAUAC
RNAcentral lists this ribosomal RNA (405 nucleotides) under uncultured bacterium. RNAcentral's name for it is "partial 16S ribosomal RNA". It matches the Rfam family "Bacterial small subunit ribosomal RNA", at positions 29 to 526 of the family's 1533-position model. The record is from RNAcentral.